GCAAAGUUAUGUAUUUUUGUUGGUUGAUCCCUGCAAAUAUAGUCCCUUUUGAGAUUAGGUCAUAUUUGUACACCAAAUACCUAUGAAACAUUAUCCUUUUUCAUUAACUACUCCAGCUAAUCUCAGGACAUAAUAUUGCAGCACCUUUGGUGUCCCAUCCAACUCAAAGCUAAUGCACUAUAGCUUAGAUGAUGGAUCCAUCAAAAUCAGCCCAAAAAUAGGGCCGAAUAAGGGUUCAUGGCUCGGUCGAUCUUGAGUCCCAAUCAGUUCGUCGGUGGCUGGGGCUCUUGUAUCGGCCAAAGGUCAACACAGGAGAAAGGCCGAGAGUUUUAGCGACGAGUGCCGACAGCGGCGGUGGUUAGAAAGAGAAAAAGAAGGCAGAACAAAGAAAAACAUAGGAUACUUUUCUUCGAGUGAUUUUUGGCUGAUUUCUCGGUCGGCUAUCGUGAUUUCAAGUUGUGGGAAGAAGAAAAAGGGAAGGGGAGGAAGAUCACGGUGUUACUUCAGCUCUGGAGGCGUGGAUGACCAUGAUUUCUGGUGAGUCUCGUGAACUCAAUAGAAAGAAGGAAGAAAAAG
RNAcentral lists this long non-coding RNA (576 nucleotides) under Phoenix dactylifera (date palm). RNAcentral describes it as "long non-coding RNA (PDAC_LNC000287)". Lineage: Eukaryota; Viridiplantae; Streptophyta; Magnoliopsida; Arecales; Arecaceae. The record is from RNAcentral.